This is a long non-coding RNA of Cygnus olor (mute swan), 1091 nucleotides long. RefSeq lists it as uncharacterized. NCBI's taxonomy places the organism in Eukaryota, Metazoa, Chordata, Aves, Anseriformes, Anatidae. The transcript is spliced from 3 exons. The record is from RefSeq and is a predicted model, not a curated record.
CCAUGUGAAGAUAAUGAGCUGAAGACCAUUCUUUGUUUCUUGGCAUUCUCAGGCGCUUAGUCUCCAAGGAUUUCGAAGUUGGCAUGCUCUAAAUUUGUAAUAAAAUACCCUUCUAAUUGUUAGUCUUGGAAACCAGGAUCCAGUCAUCUUGCAGCCCAGAAGAGGAACCAGGUCUACAGGAAACCAUGGAAUCCUAGCUUUCAUUGAUUUCUUACUGAUUUUCAAAUGAAAAGAAAAUAAAAAUGUCAGAAUUUCCUGGAGGACACACGCUUAAAUCAGCAACAGUGCUGGAGAAAAGCUGUUCCAGUAAGACGUUUGGCUUUGUGGGAGGAAUCUUCCCUGCAUUAGUAGAACAAGGCCAUAUAUUUCACAUGGGUAGCUGUUCAGAAUGUCCUAUGACAUGUCCAACAACAACUUUGUCCUACAAGCACUCUUCUUGGAAAUUCAGAAGUGGCAACAAGAUCCAAAUAGAUGGGAUGCUUGAACUUUCCCUCCAAAGACAGGCGGUGUUCAUCCUCAAUACACAGGCCAGCGUGCCCAUGAUUACCUGUUUUCUGAAUAAAGAGCUGUUCAGCUUCAGUGAUAUUAAUCUGACAGUGUUUUAUAAUUUGUUCCCAAUUUAGAUUUGUAAUAAAUCUAAAAAAAAUUUGUUUAAUUUGGACCUGGUUCCCAACCAAAAUUUUACCAAUCCUGUGUACAAUUACUAUUUUUUGUCACCUGUAGUCUGUUAAUUUCUAAACAAAUAACAUUUAGAAACACUGGAAAUUCCUAUGUCAGAUUUUAGAACUGCUUUUGACACUCAGAAAUUGAAAAGGUUUCUCACGUCAUUGAAACACCAACAUUUGGCAGAAAUUGUAAGGGGUACAAUGCCCUCACAGUGGCACACUGUGACACACUGCCAGAGUAGUAAAUCUUGAAUUAUAAUUGCUAUGACAAUGCAGCUGAAGAAAACACAAUGAUUACUUAUGAGGUAAAAUAAAUGUCUCUACCUCUCAUGGAAAAGUCUACCUCUGAUGAAAGCUACUUUUUACAUUAAAAAAAAUGUGCUUGAAAUUUGCAUGCAAUUCUAUUCAAAUUAAUAUGGCUUGACA